GCUGGGCAUGGUGGCACAUGCUUGUAAUCCCAGAUGCUCAGAGGCUAAGGCAGGAGGAUUGCAAGUUCAAAGCCAGCCUCAGCAAAAGCAAAGCACUAAGAAAUUCAGCGAGACCCUGUCUCUA
Molecule: small RNA, 124 nt
Filed under: Marmota monax (woodchuck)
Lineage: Eukaryota; Metazoa; Chordata; Mammalia; Rodentia; Sciuridae
Source: RNAcentral